GAUGAACGCUGGCGGCGUGCUUAACACAUGCAAGUCGAACGGUGAAAGAGAGCUUGCUCUCUGGAUCAGUGGCGAACGGGUGAGUAACACGUGAGCAAUCUGCCCCUGACUCUGGGAUAAGCGCUGGAAACGGCGUCUAAUACCGGAUACGAGCUGCGAAGGCAUCUUCAGCAGCUGGAAAGAACUUCGGUCAGGGCUGAGCUCGCGGCCUAUCAGCUAGUUGGUGAGGUAACGGCUCACCAAGGCGUCGACGGGUAGCCGGCCUGAGAGGGUGACCGGCCACACUGGGACUGAGACACGGCCCAGACUCCUACGGGAGGCAGCAGUGGGGAAUAUUGCACAAUGGGCGAAAGCCUGAUGCAGCAACGCCGCGUGAGGGACGACGGCCUUCGGGUUGUAAACCUCUUUUAGCAGGGAAGAAGCGAAAGUGACGGUACCUGCAGAAAAAGCACCGGCUAACUACGU
RNAcentral lists this ribosomal RNA (465 nucleotides) under uncultured bacterium. RNAcentral describes it as "partial 16S ribosomal RNA". It matches the Rfam family "Bacterial small subunit ribosomal RNA", at positions 28 to 506 of the family's 1533-position model. The record is from RNAcentral.